RNAcentral lists this ribosomal RNA (305 nucleotides) under Halorubrum sp. TP023. RNAcentral's name for it is "bacterial SSU rRNA". It matches the Rfam family "Archaeal small subunit ribosomal RNA", at positions 18 to 324 of the family's 1478-position model. The record is from RNAcentral. Lineage: Archaea; Methanobacteriati; Methanobacteriota; Halobacteria; Halobacteriales; Haloferacaceae. RNAcentral also lists the same sequence under 4 other names.
CGGAGGCCAUUGCUAUUGGGAUUCGAUUUAGCCAUGCUAGUCGUACGAGUUCAUACUCGUGGCGAAUAGCUCAGUAACACGUGGCCAAACUACCCUUCGGAGCACAAUACCCUCGGGAAACUGAGGCUAAUAGUGCAUACCACAAUCCACCUGGAAUGAGGAUUGUGCCAAACGCUCCGGCGCCGAAGGAUGUGGCUGCGGCCGAUUAGGUAGACGGUGGGGUAACGGCCCACCGUGCCAAUAAUCGGUACGGGUCAUGAGAGUGAGAACCCGGAGACGGAAUCUGAGACAAGAUUCCGGGCCCU